RNAcentral lists this ribosomal RNA (332 nucleotides) under uncultured bacterium. Its description in RNAcentral is "bacterial SSU rRNA". It matches the Rfam family "Bacterial small subunit ribosomal RNA", at positions 568 to 898 of the family's 1533-position model. The record is from RNAcentral.
CGCGUAGGCGGUCUGUUAAGUUGAAUGUGAAAACUCUGGGCUUAACCCAGAGCCUGCAUUCAAUACUGGCGGGCUAGAGUUCUGGAGGGGAUAGCGGAAUUCCUGGUGUAGCGGUGAAAUGCGUAGAUAUCAGGAGGAACACCUGUGGCGAAAGCGGCUCACUGGACCAUAACUGACGCUGAGGCGCGAAAGCUAGGGGAGCAAACAGGAUUAGAUACCCUGGUAGUCCUAGCCCUAAACGAUGAUCGCUUGGUGUGACAGGUACCCAAUCCUGUCGUGCCGGAGCUAACGCGUUAAGCGAUCCGCCUGGGGAGUACGGUCGCAAGGCUGAA